Molecule: ribosomal RNA, 389 nt
Filed under: uncultured beta proteobacterium
Lineage: Bacteria; Pseudomonadati; Pseudomonadota; Betaproteobacteria
Description: bacterial SSU rRNA
Rfam family: Bacterial small subunit ribosomal RNA
Source: RNAcentral
CUACCCUUGACAUGGCAGGAAUCCCGAAGAGAUUUGGGAGUGCUCGCAAGAGAACCUGCACACAGGUGCUGCAUGGCUGUCGUCAGCUCGUGUCGUGAGAUGUUGGGUUAAGUCCCGCAACGAGCGCAACCCUUGUCAUUAGUUGCUACGAAAGGGCACUCUAAUGAGACUGCCGGUGACAGACCGGAGGAAGGUGGGGAUGACGUCAAGUCCUCAUGGCCCUUAUGGGUAGGGCUUCACACGUCAUACAAUGGUACAUACAGAGGGCCGCCAACCCGCGAGGGGGAGCUAAUCCCAGAAAGUGUAUCGUAGUCCGGAUUGUAGUCUGCAACUCGACUACAUGAAGUUGGAAUCGCUAGUAAUCGCGGAUCAGCAUGUCGCGGUGAAUA